RNAcentral lists this long non-coding RNA (640 nucleotides) under Numida meleagris (helmeted guineafowl). Its description in RNAcentral is "lncRNA (ENSNMEG00000000803.1)". Lineage: Eukaryota; Metazoa; Chordata; Aves; Galliformes; Numididae. The record is from RNAcentral.
CGAGUGCAGCAGCGCUGCUCUGAGCAGGGGAUGAGCGUUGCAGCAGGGAGGCAGACAGACGGACAGGACGGACAGAGACAGGAUGGACAGACGGACAGGACAGACAGAGUCAGACAGGAUGGACAGAGAGACAAGACAAGCCGGACAGACGGAUGCAGGUUGUGCCCCGGUGCCCUGUGUCCAUUCCAUGGUUCUGUGACCUUCAAGGACCUUUCCAACCCAACCUAACCAUUUCAUGGUUCUGUGACCUUCAAGGACCUUUCCAAUCCAACCCGACCAUUCCAUGGUUCUGUGAUCUUUAAGGACCUUUCCAAUCCAACCCAACCAUUCCAAGGUUCUGUGAUCUUCAAGGACCUUUCCAAUCCAAUCCCACUAUUCCAUGGUUCUUUGAUUUUGAAGGACCAUUGUAUGAUUCUGUGACCUUCAAGGACCUUUCCAAUCCAACCCAACCAUUCCAUGCUUCUGUGAUCUUCAAGGACCUUUCCAAUCCAACCCGACCAUUCCAUGGUUCUGUGAUCUUUAAGGACCUUUCCAAUCCAACCAGACCAUUCCGUGGUUCUGUGACCUUCAAGGACCUUUCCAACCCAGCCCAACCAUUCCAUGGUUCUGUGAUCUUUAAGGACCUUUCCAAUCCAACCCG